This 201-nucleotide long non-coding RNA is filed under the name Nicotiana benthamiana. RNAcentral describes it as "long non-coding RNA (NBEN_LNC014022)". The record is from RNAcentral. Lineage: Eukaryota; Viridiplantae; Streptophyta; Magnoliopsida; Solanales; Solanaceae.
CCAGGUAUUCUGUCUUAGAUCUGCUUAUUUUGAAACCCUUAGAAUCGAGAGUCUGUCUCUAUACCUCUAACCUCUUAAUAACACCGACACUCAUCUCGUCUAUCAAGACUAUGUCAUCAGCAAAUAGCAUACACCAAGGCACAUCCCCUUGAAUAUGUCGGGUUAGAGCAUCCAUCACCAAGGCAAACAAGAGAGGGCUAA